GUUCAUCUGCAACGUUUGCUCGACAAACAUAACUGCUUACAUGUUACAAAAAAAUCUAUCCCUAAUUCUACUCCACUAACAGCUCCACGUUCAUGGUGGUUUACAACCGAUCCAUCUUCUAUAUAAAUCCAAUUUGCCUUGAUUCUCUCUUCAAUUUUCUCUGUAUUUACCUCCUCUUCAUUGUUUGUUUUCUUCUGGUUUUGCAAUUCUCACGCUGUUUCAGGUUGAAGAUGCCUCUGAAUUUUACUCCUCUCAAAUCUAAAUUCUUUGAAAAAAGAAUGGAAGAUCAGACUUCUAAUAGCCCGAACAUAUUGUCUUUGGGGAUUUCCAAAAAAGGAUAAACCAGAAGAAUUUUCAAGAAUGUAAUCUUCUCCUUGUGGAUGAAAAGGGAAGUAGGUUACAAUCCAAAACUUAACAGUGCUCUCUCUCUCGACGCAGUUAUCUGAGCUAUUUUCUGGUUGGAGAUUAUGUUGUUUCCCACGGCGACGAGUUGGGGUAAUGUUUUCACGCUUUUUGGCCUUUUUCGUCAAAUCAGUAGCUUUUGCCUCGGUGAGUGAGGUUCUUAUAGUACGCUUCAUUUCUUAGAGUACAAAAAACUGGUUGCCUGAGUUUUUCAUUCUUAAAUGAUGUAAAGCAUCUUUGUGUCUA
Camelina sativa (false flax) is the source of this 648-nucleotide long non-coding RNA. RefSeq lists it as uncharacterized. The record is from RefSeq and is a predicted model, not a curated record. NCBI's taxonomy places the organism in Eukaryota, Viridiplantae, Streptophyta, Magnoliopsida, Brassicales, Brassicaceae.